RNAcentral lists this ribosomal RNA (1500 nucleotides) under uncultured prokaryote. RNAcentral's name for it is "partial 16S ribosomal RNA". It matches the Rfam family "Bacterial small subunit ribosomal RNA". The record is from RNAcentral.
AGAGUUUGAUCCUGGCUCAGAUUGAACGCUGGCGGCAUGCCUAACACAUGCAAGUCGAACGGAAACGAUGGGAGCUUGCUCUCAGGCGUCGAGUGGCGGACGGGUGAGUAAUACUUAGGAAUCUACCCAGUAGCGGGGGACAACUCGGGGAAACUCGAGCUAAUACCGCAUACGCCCUACGGGGGAAAGCAGGGGAUCUUCGGACCUCGCGCUAUCGGAUGAGCCCGCGUCGGAUUAGCUAGUUGGUGAGGUAAAGGCUCACCAAGGCGACGAUCCGUAACUGGUCUGAGAGGACGAUCAGUCACACCGGAACUGAGACACGGUCCGGACUCCUACGGGAGGCAGCAGUGGGGAAUAUUGGACAAUGGGGGAAACCCUGAUCCAGCAAUGCCGCGUGUGUGAAGAAGGCCUGCGGGUUGUAAAGCACUUUCAGUAGGGAAGAAAUGCUCGGGGUUAAUACCCCCGAGUCUUGACGUUACUUACAGAAGAAGCACCGGCUAACUCCGUGCCAGCAGCCGCGGUAAUACGGAGGGUGCGAGCGUUAAUCGGAAUUACUGGGCGUAAAGCGCGCGUAGGCGGCUUGGUCAGUCGGAUGUGAAAGCCCCGGGCUUAACCUGGGAAUUGCACUCGAUACUGCUGAGCUAGAGUAUGGGAGAGGGAAGUGGAAUUUCCGGUGUAGCGGUGAAAUGCGUAGAUAUCGGGAGGAACACCAGUGGCGAAGGCGGCUUCCUGGCCCAAUACUGACACUCAGGUGCGAAAGCGUGGGGAGCAAACAGGAUAUCCCCUGGUAGUCCACGCCGUAAACGAUGAGAACUAGAUGUCGGAGGGGAUUAGCCCUUCGGUGUCGCAGCUAACGCAUUAAGUUCUCCGCCUGGGGAGUACGCCGGCAACGGUAAAACUCAAAGGAAUUGACGGGGACCCGCACAAGCGGUGGAGCAUGUGGUUUAAUUCGAUGCAACGCGAAGAACCUUACCUGCCCUUGACAUCCUCGGAACUUGGCAGAGAUGCCUUGGUGCCUUCGGGAACCGAGAGACAGGUGCUGCAUGGCUGUCGUCAGCUCGUGUCGUGAGAUGUUGGGUUAAGUCCCGCAACGAGCGCAACCCUUGUCCUUAGUUGCCAGCGGUUCGGCCGGGAACUCUAUGGAGACUGCCAGCGACAAGCUGGAGGAAGGCGGGGACGACGUCAAGUCAUCAUGGCCCUUAUGGGCAGGGCUACACACGUGCUACAAUGGCCGGUACAGAGGGUUGCUAACCCGCAAGGGGGCGCCAAUCCCAGAAAGCCGGUCGUAGUCCGGAUCGGAGUCUGCAACUCGACUCCGUGAAGUCGGAAUCGCUAGUAAUCGCGAAUCAGCAUUGUCGCGGUGAAUACGUUCCCGGGUCUUGUACACACCGCCCGUCACACCAUGGAAGUUGGUUGCACCAGAAGUAGGUAGCCUAACCUUAGGGAGGGCGCUUACCACGGUGUGGCCAAUGACUGGGGUGAAGUCGUAACAAGGUAACC